RNAcentral lists this ribosomal RNA (482 nucleotides) under uncultured bacterium. Its description in RNAcentral is "partial 16S ribosomal RNA". It matches the Rfam family "Bacterial small subunit ribosomal RNA", at positions 29 to 507 of the family's 1533-position model. The record is from RNAcentral.
ACGAACGCUGGCGGCGUGCUUAACACAUGCAAGUCGAACGCUGAAGCUCAGCUUUUGUUGGGUGGAUGAGUGGCGAACGGGUGAGUAACACGUGAGUAACCUGCCCCCUUCUUUGGGGUAACGCCCGGAAACGGGUGCUAAUACUGGAUAUUCACUGGUCUUCGCAUGGGGGUUGGUGGAAAGGGUUUUUCUGGUGGGGGAUGGGCUCGCGGCCUAUCAGCUUGUUGGUGGGGUGAUGGCCUACCAAGGCUUUGACGGGUAGCCGGCCUGAGAGGGUGACCGGUCACAUUGGGACUGAGAUACGGCCCAGACUCCUACGGGAGGCAGCAGUGGGGAAUAUUGCACAAUGGGCGCAAGCCUGAUGCAGCGACGCCGCGUGAGGGAUGGAGGCCUUCGGGUUGUGAACCUCUUUCGCUCAUGGUCAAGCCGCAACAAUGGUUGUGGUGAGGGUAGUGGGUAAAGAAGCGCCGGCUAACUACGUG